This 497-nucleotide ribosomal RNA is filed under the name uncultured bacterium. Its description in RNAcentral is "partial 16S ribosomal RNA". It matches the Rfam family "Bacterial small subunit ribosomal RNA", at positions 28 to 507 of the family's 1533-position model. The record is from RNAcentral.
GAUGAACGCUGGCGGCGUGCCUAAUACAUGCAAGUCGAGCGAACGGACGAGAAGCUUGCUUCUCUGAUGUUAGCGGCGGACGGGUGAGUAACACGUGGAUAACCUACCUAUAAGACUGGGAUAACUUCGGGAAACCGGAGCUAAUACCGGAUAAUAUUUUGAACCGCAUGGUUCAAAAGUGAUAGACGGCCUUGCUGUCACUUAUAGAUGGAUUCGCGCUGCAUUAGCAAGUUGGUAAGGUAACGGCUUACCAAGGCAACGAUGCAUAGCCGACCUGAGAGGGUGAUCGGCCACACUGGAACUGAGACACGGUCCAGACUCCUACGGGAGGCAGCAGUAGGGAAUCUUCCGCAAUGGGCGAAAGCCUGACGGAGCAACGCCGCGUGAGUGAUGAAGGUCUUCGGAUCGUAAAGCUCUGUUAUUAGGGAAGAACAUAUGUGUAAGUAACCGUGCACAUCAUGACGGUACCUAAACAGAAAGCCACGGCUAACUACGUG